UACGUAGGGAGCAAGCGUUGUCCGGAAUCAUUUGGGCGUAAAGCGCGCGUAGGCGGCCCCGUAAGUCCGCUGUGAAAGUCAAAGGCUCAACCUUUGAAAGCCGGGUGGAUACUGUGGGGCUAGAGUCCGGAAGAGGCGAGUGGAAUUCCUGGUGUAGCGGUGGAAUGCGCAGAUAUCAGGAGGAACACCAAUAGCGAAGGCAGCUCGCUGGGACGGUACUGACGCUAAGGCGCGAAAGCGUGGGGAGCGAACAGG
This 255-nucleotide ribosomal RNA is filed under the name uncultured bacterium. Its description in RNAcentral is "partial 16S ribosomal RNA". It matches the Rfam family "Bacterial small subunit ribosomal RNA", at positions 524 to 776 of the family's 1533-position model. The record is from RNAcentral.